Molecule: RNA transcript, 2560 nt
Organism: Trifolium pratense (red clover)
Lineage: Eukaryota; Viridiplantae; Streptophyta; Magnoliopsida; Fabales; Fabaceae
Gene name: beta-carotene isomerase D27, chloroplastic
Exons: 9
Source: RefSeq, a predicted model, not a curated record
AUCAACAAUAUGAGCUUUAGGCAAAGAUUCUUUUCAUGCACUAUUUGUCUUUAUUAAGCCCCUCUUAUAUAAGCUUCUCUCUUAUGUAACUAAUCAUUAAUAUUCACAAAUGGAUGCAAAAGUGAUUACACACAACAUGAGUCUAUCACCAACUUUAGCUCAGUGGAGAAGCCUAAGACUUAAACCAAAACACACUUUUGUAGUUGGAGUUUUUGCAAGGCCUUCAGAUAACAUUACUGAAGAAACAUUAAGAAAAACUACUGUAUACAAUGAUAAUUGGUUUGAUAAAUUAGCUAUAAAUCAUUUAUCAAAAAGUGUUCAAGCAGCAACAGGCAUAAGUAACAAUAAGAGUGGUUUUGAUAGCCUUGUGGAAGCAGCUACUGUGGCUUCACAGAAAUUUAAUACUAUUCAACAACAAGAAAUUAUUCUAGAUGCACUUGACAGAGCCUUUCCAAAGCCAAUACUUUCGGUGAUAAGGAGAGUGAUGCCACCUUCUAAAAUAGCAAGGGAAUAUUUUGCCGUCUUCACCACUUUGUUCUGUGCUUGGUUACUCGGUCCCUGUGAGGUGAGAGAAUCGGAAGUCAAUGGGAAAAGAGAAAAAAAUGUCGUCCACAUAAAAAAAUGCAGAGUUUUAGAAGAAACAAAUUGUGUUGGGAUAUGUGCCAAUCUCUGCAAAAUGCCAUCUCAAAUAUUCAUAAAGGACUCUUUUGGUAUGCCACUCAAUAUGGUUCCAAAUUUUGAUGACAUGAGUUGUGAGAUGAUAUUUGGCCAGGAACCCCCAUCAUCAACCGAUGAUCCAGCACUCAAACAACCCUGCUAUAAACUAUGCAAGGCAAAGAAAAACCAUGGAACGAAAUGUCUUACCUAAUGUAGUAGGCUUUUUCUCAGCUGGGCAGGACGAAGAAUGUCCCCCACCUUUGUGUGCUACCAAAGCUAAGAACAAUUAAGUGGUUCAGUGUAAUCUAAACCAAUGGUUUCAUUCUUAAGUGGAUUUUCAUCAUUUUAGAUUAGUUUUAAUGUUCGUAAAGCGCUCAAGUAUGUAAGUGGACAAAGGAAUUGCUUACCGCUCUCAUAUAAUGUUACAUAACAAAAUUAUCUAUGAUUUGAGCCCCCCACCUACCCUGAAGAAAAUAAACUAUUAUUGAUUAUUUCCUCUAUUAAACUCAUAAAACACUUGCUAAAUUACGAUUAAACAAACACUUUGUUUAAAAAUGGACUUCACCAACUCGGUCUACCAUUAUUCUUGUUAAAGAAUUAUUUUUUAUAACAUGAUCUAACAUCUCACAAAGCGUCAUUUUGUACUCGAGAAAAGUGACAUUUCUCCAUUCUCGUGAGCUUAGAAAACAUUAUUUUAUUAGCAUAUGUUUAAUUUUAAUCGGUUAUGUGCUAUUUAAAUUAUUUAGCGGGAUAGAGGUAUUAAUUUAGCAAGAGGAAUUCAUUAAAUUAGGAUUUAUUUAACUUGGCAAUCAAAAUUAGAAUGAAAGAUGUAAGAAGAAUAGUGUUAGAAAAAUAGAAUAGAACUAUUGGUAGAUUUUUUUUUUAAGCAAGAAAAAUAGCGAGGUAGAAGUAGCAAAUUGAUGGGGAAAAUAGUUAAAUAGAAUUUUAGAUGAUUUUAAUAAUUUAAAUAGGAAAAGAAUUGAGAGAAAUUAAAAUUAUAGAGGAAAUGGAGAAUUAGGAGGAAAUGUAAUGAAGCGGGUGUAUAGUGAGCAAGUACAGAAAGAUGGGGUAUGUUGGAGUAAGAAUUAUGUUGGGCUAGUGUGAAGGGAGGUGGGCGCAUGGGCUUUAGUAAAAGAGAGGGGUGUGAGAGAAAUUCUGUCUAAAAGGAGGGUGAAUUCCAUUGUGCAAAGGUAUAAGGGUCAACAUUGGUUGGGAGGUUGUUAAUGAAAAUCUACAUUUCUCAUUCUUUGAAAGUAAACCUGGACAAGAUUUUUCUGCAAGGAUAUAUGAUCAAGUUCACAACAUUGAUCCACGAACUACUUUGUUCUUGAAUGAUUAUAAUACCAUUGAGGAAAGUAGAGAUGGUUUAUCAAGUCCAUCAAGGUAUAUUAAGACAAAUUCAAAGUUCAAAUAGACAAUUGCCUCUUGUAAUUGGACUUGAGUCUCAUUUCCCUAGUAGUCUUCCUAACUUGCCUAACAUGAGAGCUUCCCUUGACAUCCUUCCUUCCACCGGUUUUCCAAUAUGGAUUACUGAGUUAGACAUCGCACGCCAACCUAAUUAGGCAAGGUACUUCGAGUAGGUUCUAAGAGAGGCCCAUUCUCACCCAGGGAUUUGAGGCAUUGCAAUGUGGACUGCUGGAAACCAACCGGUUGUUAUACGAUGUGUUUGACUGAUAACAAAUUUAAGAAUUUGCCUACUGGUGAUGUUGUGGACAAACUUCUUAAAGAGUCGGGGAAAACAACAGUAUCAACGACGACAAGCGAAAAUAGUUUCCUCGAGACCUCUCUUUUUCAUGGCGAUUAUGACGUGGAAAUUAGUCAUGCUAUAAAGAAGAAUCAUACUUUCACUCAUAAAAUGCAAGUUCUUUCGGAAUACGAGUCAGAGAAAAUAAGACAGUUUAUA